RNAcentral lists this ribosomal RNA (37 nucleotides) under Agaricus sp. RNAcentral describes it as "partial 28S ribosomal RNA". Lineage: Eukaryota; Fungi; Basidiomycota; Agaricomycetes; Agaricales; Agaricaceae. The record is from RNAcentral.
UGACCUCAAAUCAGGUAGGACUACCGGCUGAACUUAA